AUUGAACGCUGGCGGCAGGCUUAACACAUGCAAGUCGAGCGGGGUGAUGGUGCUUGCACUAUCACUUAGCGGCGGACGGGUGAGUAAUGCUUAGGAAUCUGCCUAUUAGUGGGGGACAACAUCUCGAAAGGGAUGCUAAUACCGCAUACGUCCUACGGGAGAAAGCAGGGGAUCACUUGUGACCUUGCGCUAAUAGAUGAGCCUAAGUCGGAUUAGCUAGUUGGUGGGGUAAAGGCCUACCAAGGCGACGAUCUGUAGCGGGACUGAGGGGAUGAUCCGCCACACUGGGACUGAGACACGGCCCAGACUCCUACGGGAGGCAGCAGUGGGGAAUGUUGGACAAUAGGGGGAGCCCUGAUCCAGCCAUACCGCGUGUGUGAAUCAGGCCUUAUGGUUGUAAAGCACUUUAAGCGAGGAGGAGGAUCUUUUGGUUAAUACCCAAGAUGAGUGGACGUUACUCGCAGAAUAAGCACCGGCUAACUCUGUGCCAGCCGCCGCAGUAA
Molecule: ribosomal RNA, 503 nt
Filed under: uncultured bacterium
Lineage: Bacteria
Description: partial 16S ribosomal RNA
Rfam family: Bacterial small subunit ribosomal RNA
Source: RNAcentral